This 988-nucleotide ribosomal RNA is filed under the name uncultured bacterium. Its description in RNAcentral is "bacterial SSU rRNA". It matches the Rfam family "Bacterial small subunit ribosomal RNA", at positions 29 to 1021 of the family's 1533-position model. The record is from RNAcentral.
UUGAGUCUGCGGCAGCUACACAUGCAGUCGAGCGGCAGCGGGUCCUUCGGGAUGCCGGCGAGCGGCGGACGGGUGAGUAAUGCCUAGGAAUCUGCCUGGUAGUGGGGGAUAACUCGGGGAAACUCGAGCUAAUACCGCAUACGUCCUACGGGAGAAAGCGGGGGAUCUUCGGACCUCGCGCUACCAGAUGAGCCUAGGUCGGAUUAGCUAGUUGGUGAGGUAAAGGCUCACCAAGGCGACGAUCCGUAGCUGGUCUGAGAGGAUGAUCAGCCACACUGGAACUGAGACACGGUCCAGACUCCUACGGGAGGCAGCAGUGGGGAAUAUUGGACAAUGGGCGAAAGCCUGAUCCAGCCAUGCCGCGUGUGUGAAGAAGGUCUUCGGAUUGUAAAGCACUUUAAGUUGGGAGGAAGGGCAGUAAGCUAAUACCUUGCUGUUUUGACGUUACCGACAGAAUAAGCACCGGCUAACUUCGUGCCAGCAGCCGCGGUAAUACGAAGGGUGCAAGCGUUAAUCGGAAUUACUGGGCGUAAAGCGCGCGUAGGUGGUUUGAUAAGUUGGAUGUGAAAGCCCCGGGCUCAACCUGGGAAUUGCAUCCAAAACUGUCUGACUAGAGUAUGGCAGAGGGUGGUGGAAUUUCCUGUGUAGCGGUGAAAUGCGUAGAUAUAGGAAGGAACACCAGUGGCGAAGGCGACCACCUGGGCUAAUACUGACACUGAGGUGCGAAAGCGUGGGGAGCAAACAGGAUUAGAUACCCUGAUAGUCCACGCCGUAAACGAUGUCGACUAGCCGUUGGGAUCCUUGAGAUCUUAGUGGCGCAGCUAACGCAUUAAGUCGACCGCCUGGGGAGUACGGCCGCAAGGUUAAAACUCAAAUGAAUUGACGGGGGCCCGCACAAGCGGUGAGCAUGUGUUUAAUUCGAAGCAACGCGAAGACCUUACCAGGCCUUGACAUGCAGAGAACUUUCCAGAGAUGGAUUGGUGCCUUC